This 623-nucleotide ribosomal RNA is filed under the name Herpotrichiellaceae sp. RB-2011. RNAcentral's name for it is "eukaryotic LSU rRNA". The stretch from base 245 to 398 matches the Rfam family "5.8S ribosomal RNA". The record is from RNAcentral. Lineage: Eukaryota; Fungi; Ascomycota; Eurotiomycetes; Chaetothyriales; Herpotrichiellaceae.
CUUGGUCAUUUAGAGGAAGUAAAAGUCGUAACAAGGUUUCCGUAGGUGAACCUGCGGAAGGAUCAUUACCGAGUUAGGGUCUUAUAGGCCCGACCUCCAACCCUUUGUUUACUACACCAUGUUGCUUUGGCGGGCCCGCCUUUUGGGGCCGCCGGGGGUUUACAAGCCCCUGGUCAGUGUUCGCCAGUAGCCUUAUUAAAUUCUUUUAUAAUUAUGUUGUCUGAGUAUAAAUAUAAAUCGUUAAAACUUUCAACAACGGAUCUCUUGGUUCUGGCAUCGAUGAAGAACGCAGCGAAAUGCGAUAAGUAAUGCGAAUUGCAGAAUUCAGUGAGUCAUCGAAUCUUUGAACGCAUAUUGCGCCCUUUGGCAUUCCGAAGGGCAUGCCUGUUCGAGCGUCAUUAUCAACCAUCAAGCCUGGCUUGUCGUUGGACCUCUUUACCGCUGAAAUAUGUGGUAGGUCCGAAAGAUAAUGACGGCGUCGUGUUUGACCCUAGAUGCAACGAGCUUUUUAUAGCACGCAUUGAAGUGGUCGGCCGACCCGGUCUUUAACCAUUAUUUUCUAAGGUUGACCUCGGAUCAGGUAGGAAUACCCGCCGAACUUAAGCAUAUCAAUAAGCGGAGGA